This 121-nucleotide non-coding RNA is filed under the name pig gut metagenome. Its description in RNAcentral is "THF riboswitch". It matches the Rfam family "THF (Tetrahydrofolate) riboswitch aptamer". Rfam says of the family: THF riboswitch presents a pseudoknot that joins P1-P2 and the loop of P3 and two THF binding. The record is from RNAcentral.
CAGAGUAGGCAGAUGAGCGUAAUACCGAGUAUAUUUCUCGGUAUCAGUGCCGAAUGAACGGGGAGUUGUCAUUCGGACGAAAAGGUCUUGUACCUUGCGGUUCAUCUGCCGCAUCCCGCUG